Molecule: non-coding RNA, 17601 nt
Organism: Chlorocebus sabaeus (green monkey)
Lineage: Eukaryota; Metazoa; Chordata; Mammalia; Primates; Cercopithecidae
Source: RefSeq, a predicted model, not a curated record
CUGUUCCCGCCUCUCCAGUUAAGGCCGCCGGUGUGAGCCCGGGCUCGGCGCGAGCGAGGGACGACGGAAGGGACUGGCAGGUGUGGACGCGGGGCCACGCAGCCCGACGGCGGGAGUCGCAGGUGCUGAGUGCAUGGGCCAGUGAGGACGCACGGAGCUCCCCUCGCCGCGCAGAGGAGGAGCAGCGCGGGAGCCAGGCGCUGCCCCACGACCCUGCGUCCGAGCGAGCGGAACCUCGCGCUUCGCCCGGGGACAGUCCGAAGUCCGCGCUAUGGAAGAGGAGAAAUAUUUGCCUGAGCUGAUGGCAGAGAAAGAUAGCCUGGAUCCAUCUUUUGUGCAUGCAUCGCGCCUUUUGGCAGAAGAAAUUGAAAAAUUUCAAGGUUCUGAUGGAAAAAAGGAAGACGAAGAAAAGAAGUAUCUUGAUGUCAUCAGCAACAAAAACAUAAAGCUCUCAGAAAGAGUACUGAUUCCUGUCAAGCAGUAUCCAAAGUUCAAUUUUGUGGGGAAAUUGCUUGGACCAAGAGGAAACUCCUUGAAGAGGCUACAGGAAGAAACAGGUGCUAAAAUGUCUAUCCUGGGCAAAGGAUCAAUGAGAGAUAAAGCCAAGGAAGAAGAACUAAGGAAGAGUGGGGAAGCCAAAUAUGCCCACUUGAGUGAUGAGCUUCAUGUAUUAAUUGAAGUGUUUGCUCCACCUGGGGAAGCUUAUUCACGUAUGAGUCAUGCAUUGGAAGAGAUUAAAAAAUUCCUGGUUCCUGACUACAAUGAUGAAAUUCGUCAGGAACAACUACGUGAAUUAUCUUACUUAAAUGGCUCAGAGGACUCUGGUCGUGGCCGAGGUAUUAGAGGCAGAGGGAUCAGAAUAGCUCCCACAGCUCCUUCAAGGGGCCGUGGGGGUGCCAUUCCUCCUCCCCCACCACCUGGACGAGGUGUUCUCACCCCUCGAGGAAGCACUGUAACCCGUGGAGCCCUUCCAGUGCCACCUGUAGCAAGAGGUGUCCCUACCCCUCGAGCCCGGGGGGCACCAACAGUGCCAGGAUACAGGGCGCCUCCUCCUCCAGCCCAUGAAGCUUAUGAAGAAUACGGUUAUGAUGAUGGCUACGGGGGUGAAUAUGAUGACCAGACCUAUGAAGCUUAUGAUAACAGCUAUGCGACCCAAACACAAAGUGUGCCUGAAUACUAUGACUACGGUCAUGGAGUAAGUGAGGAUGCCUAUGACAGCUACGCACCAGAAGAAUGGGCCACAACCCGCUCUAGCUUGAAGGCACCACCGCCGAGGUCAGCAAGAGGGGGAUACAGGGAACACCCCUAUGGUAGAUAUUGAAGGUCCUUCCCACCUGUGACCUCACCUCAAAGACAGUUCAUAGCCUGUGGUCUCCACAUAAACAGCAACAAGACAAGUACCCACAAGCAAAGAACACGUAAUUGAAUAAUGGAUAUGAUUUGCUAAGAAGGAUGGAGGUGAAGAUGUAUGGUACAAAAAUGAAAAGCUGGAAUAAAUCCAAGACUGGCUGUUUGGAGGUUUCAUUUUUUAACAGCGGAGGUGAGUCCUUUCAUCCGUUUGUGAUUUCAUUUAUGAACUCUGCUUACAACACAGGUAUAGAACACUUCAUUAUGGGCCCAAACAUAUAUGUUUAAAUGGAUAAAGUAGCUGUUACAUCAGAUGGAGGCUAAGUGGGGACAUUAAAUUAAUGUCAAACAAGGAGAAACUCUUUUAGUUUUAUUCUACAUUGUAGCAGCAUAGUGAUAAUGUGCUGAUUUUCAUAUGCACACAAUUUCUGUAUGUCUUAUAUCACCAGAACGUGAGGUUAUGAAUUCCUGUAUUACAAAGUAAAAAUAAAAGCAAUAAUAAACUAAUAAGGAAAUAUAUUUUGUUCAGAGAAUGUGAUGAAUGUUCGCACUGUUUUUCAUAAUGAGGAGGAUGGGGGACAAAAAGUUUCUGUGAAGAAAUGUCAUCCACCAUACAUGAUGGCUUUUUAUUGAGUCUUUGUCUAAAGUGUUACUGUAGUCAUCCUGCCAAGUAUCACCUUUUUUCAUUAGAGGAGAAGUUCAAUUUCACGGGAUAGGGCCAAGAUAUAGGGACUUCCAAAAAAUCUUCGUAGAAUGAAAUGUGAUGGAAUGGAGUAGGGUAGAACAGAACCCAGUAGAAUAGGACUGCAAUUAUUUGUUCCUCCCUUUAAUUCUAAUUUGUUCUAAAACACAAGGAGAAAUAAAUGUGUGGCUGGAUGGUCAGCGAUAUAGAUGAUUUGGAAGAUAAGCUUCCAUUUUCUUCCUUAUAUAUUCUUGUAUUUUAAAACAGGGAGUGUAAAUUACAGUUAUGUUUGCUGAACGAGAUAGGAAAUUGUGUAAGAUACAUUUCAGAAAUUUUUUUCUUAAAAGAACUUAAGUAAUUUUUUUUUAAUGAAGAUACAUUUCCCAGGACUUGAUAUUCAGAAAGACCUUAGGGAAGAGUUGAGAACGGUUAUGGAUACUAUAGAAACACUGUGCCUCCUUCUAUUUUAUCUCAGAGCAGUUUGGAGGAAAACAGAAUCUUAUCUUUAUGACCGUCUUGAAUCUGAUCCAUACUUAACAUCUUUCCCAAUUCUUUUCAGAGUUCCAUGUAAAUUCUCCCAUACAAUGUAACACUGUCUUUGGAAUUCACUGUCAGUUACAAACUACACUGUAGAUAAAGUGGCCACCGUAGAUAAAGUCCCGGUUUAUGCCUGUUGUUUUAGGAUCAUUAUCAUUAGCACUACCUUUUACCCUCAGACGUGUCCCAGUAGGGAUGACAAAUUAUGGUAGCCUUAUCUAUAACUAAUAAUAGCAUGUCAAUAAUGAUAACCAAUAGCCCUACUGGAAGCUUGCUAUUUGUCAGAGACUUUGAGUGCUUUCAUGUAUAAUGAAUUCUUCAUAAUAACCCAAUGAGGCAAGUAUUUUAUUUCCCCCAUUUUACAGUAGAAGAAACAAAGAGUUAGAGAGGUUAACUAGCAUGACCUGCUCACAUAAUAGGCCCAACCUUAAAUCAGACAAAGAUCUGACUUUAUAACAUCAUGUGCCAGAAGAUGGUUAUGCUAUCUUCUUAUUUGCUUGCUGAUAGAAUUAGCUUUGCUUUUUUUAAUAUACUCAAAGAUUAUCAAUAGUUUUCAUUUACUAUUCUUCCUAGAUUCUACAACUAUAUUUUUAUAAGGACUGUGGAUUUUAAGAUGCAAGAAAAGAGCACUGAAGUGAACUAAAAUUCAUCUGGGUUUUAGUUCAGGAUAUUAAUUUUACUAUAUUAAUAAAAAUAACUGUGAUUUGUUGAAUGACUAGUAUACGCAAGAUUGGGACUUUCCCUUUGUUGUAUCACUGACGCCAAAAACAGCAGUGCAAGGCAGAACAUUUGAACCCCAUGAAUGUGUAUGAUUGCUUUAGCUGUUAGCCCUAAAUUGGUUCAUAGGUUACAAUGAAGCUUGGGGCAUUAAAUAGUUUCAGCAGGCCUCUCCAAGCUCUGACAUUCUUAUCCCUAGCUGCCUCUAGGAGUACUUGAUUAUCAGGAUAUAAGAUACAGAAUCUGGAUGCAAGGAAAAAUUCUUGGGGACAAAGGGACUUCCUCAGCACCUCAUGUUUAUAUUAACUACUGUGCAUUGAGUGCUUAAUAAGGGCAUGUACUUUACAUAUUUUUGUAAACAUAUUUUCUUCUAUUUUCCUCCUUACCAUAGGUCAAAAAAGAAGAUAAUUUGGAUUUGAACCAAUGUAAGUUUAGCUUCACUAUGCUAGAGAGAUCAUCUAUCUCUGAAACUCUCUGUAGAUUACCAUCAUUCAGGAACUUUUCUGAAAAGCAGUAUUAAAGAUGAAUAAAUAAUAUUUACUGAUAAUCAAAUUUGUUCCACAACUGUAUAAAGAAUAUAAAAACAGAUAUAAUAGUGUAUAGAGAUUGUUGAAAUUCCUUGUCAUAUUUUCAAAUAAAAAGUGUGGAAAUUUUUACUAGUGCAGAGUAAGUUCUGUAUGCUGCAAAGAACAAGGUAAAUGUAAAUCUGUGCCUAUACUCAAAAGAUGAUUACAAUUCACUUGGGAAUACAAGAAUGUAAAUCCACAAAUGUGGAUUGUGUACUAUUAUAAAAUGCCAAAUUGUAUAGUGUUAUUUGAACAGUGGUUCUUAACCACAUAUGCAUAUCAGCAUGAUGCAUGGUGUGUUUUAAAACUACAGAUGUCAGGACCCUACUGCAUUGACUAAGUAAGUUUUUGAGGUUAGAACCUGGAAAUAUGUGUUUUUAAAAUUCCAUGGAUGAUUUUGAGGUGUACUAUGGAUAACAACCACUGGAUUAAAAUAUAUGUGUAACAUAUUAAUGUGUUAAUUAUGCAGAUUUUAAGAGUUAAUUUUGGCUGGGAUAUAAAAAGAUGGCUUUGUAGAAGAGACAGGAUUUGAAUGCAAGGUCAGAUGUGGACAGAAGCACCAGUCAAGCCAGGGUUCUUUUGCUUUUUGGUUGUUGUUGUGGAAACGAUGUCAGAUGUUCAUAUUUUCCCAGUGGAAUUUUACAAUACUUUUGGAAACAGUUUCGUAGGGUGAAAAUAAGAAGAAAGAAUGAAAACAAAACACAGAUGGGAAAAAAGUACGAUUUUCUUCAUCUCAACUCGCCUCACCACUACAGAUCCAAGCCUGACACAGAGCCUAACAGAAAGAGAAAAUCUUGGAAACAAGAGACCAAUACAGAAGUUAUUUAAGUAAUCCAUAGGAAAAUGGAGGUGCAUCUCUGACAAUGGAGGGAAGAGCUUAAUGGUGAUUGAAAACUGAGAAGGCAGAGCACUUCUUUGGAGGUUGUGUUCCCAUAGCAUGCACAAGAAUAUGACUUAGGUUUUAUGCUUUUUUGGGGGUGGUUUUGAGCGUGCUAACAGAUAACCAAGGUUAGAGGCUUCAGAUCAAUGGAAGGAGUAAUAAAGAGGAGUUUGUCUAAGAAAGUGGCGACAAAACUGAAAGACUGUAAGUCUGAAGUUCAAAUCACCAAUUCAUAUGUUUUCUGCCUUUGAAUGCCAUCUUUCUUUAUUGUUUGCUACUUGGCCAUGUCCAAAAUUUCUUACCUGAUCUCUGGUAUGUCUAUUCAAGAAAGGUUUUCAUCACAUCAUUUUUCUUCUGUGAUGUUGAAGAUGAAUGGAUCCAGUUCAGCUAACAAAGAUAAAGAAGUGUUCUGCCUUUUACAGGGCUGUUGGUCAUUCUCAGGAUAAGAGAGUAAAUCCUUUUCAGUCAGUAACUAUCUAUUGUGUUGACUCCAACCUUCUUAAGCCAGACAGUUAUGAGUAACAGUGAUGGGUCCUUAGAGAACAGUGAAAAGCCAGACUCACUAAGCAUUCAAUAGCCUUGGGUGGUAUACAAGGGAGUAGGACAUUAAGCAACCAGUGGAAUGUUUUUGUAUUUGAAUUGGUCUUAGGUGUUGGGUUACACACUGUAAAAUGAAAAUGUAUUCAAAUCAUAGAAUCUCUUAUAGUCAGUGUCUUAAGUAACUUAAUAAUUACUUUCCUACUAUAUGAAUGACUGAAAGAUUAUUCUAUGGCAUUUUCCUUUAUGUCUAUUUAAACUUUUUAUGGAAAUAUUUAGACCUACAUUAAACUACAGAGGUAUAGUAUAAUGUAUACCAUGUACUCUUUACUCUGCUUCAAUAAUUAUCAAUAUUUUGACAAAUGCUGCCAAGUUUUUUUUAUUAUUUCUCAUACAUUUUAUCUAAUAUUUUAAAGCAAAUAUCAAACUUGUUAUUUGAAAGUUAUUCAGUGUGCAUCUCUAACUGAUAACUAUUUUGACAUAAUGAGCAUGCCUUUCUCAUACCAUAGAUUCUUAGUAUCAUCUAUUAUGCAUUUCACCAGUUGUGCCACAAAUACCCAUUUACAGUUAGUUUGUUCAAAUCAAAAUCCAAACAAGGUCCCCACAUCACUUUUGGUUACUAUAUUUGUAUAUAUUAUGGUUUGAUUAUUUGGUUAUUAUAUCUAUCAGAAAAACACUUUGUUUUAUGUUUUAUAACCGGGUUGUCACACCAUUUUCUAGUUCUAAUGCAAAAUCAUAACUCAUUCAACAUUUAUUUAACUACUGUAUAAUGAACAAUUACUAUGUACAGGACAGUGUACUACUAGGUGCUGACUGUGAUUCAAAGACGUCUGUAAAUCACGGUCCCUACCCCCAAGACUUUACCAUGUGAGGAAAAUGAAAAAUAAAAAUGCAUAAAUAUAAUGACAACAACAUGGCAGCAUAGCUUAAUUAAGUAGUAUAGGGACUAACAUUUCAAAAGCAGAAGUAUGGUUUGAAAGAUGAGGGGCGGCCAUUUUGGAAGAGUUAGCAUGUGAGAUGGAUGAGUUACAGUGAUCGGCAAUUCAAGAGGAAUUUGGAUUGGGAGAAGGGUAAAAAGAGAAAGCUCAAUCUGUGAUAGAAAAAUGUUCAUUCUAUAGAUUUUAAGAGGGAAAAAGACAUAAAUAUUAGAGGUGUGGAAAGUGAGAAAUAUAUUCAAGAAAUUAUAGGUAAAAUAAUUCAGCAGAAGCAGAAUAUUUAUGAAAGAGAUAUGCCUAAAAGAUAAGUAGGGGACAGCUUUGGGCAGAUAUUGAAUGGCAAGCUAAAUAGCUUGAACAUUGUCCUCUAGAACAGGCAGCCACUAAGCUAUAUUCAUUUUUCCAUAUAUGAGAGACUGUAGGACAUUAUAUAAACAUAGAUAUUUAAUUAGUAACCAAAAUGCAUCAGCUCAUUUCAUAAGGGAACUUAAAAAACUGUGUAUGUAUUCCAAUAGCAAUCAUUUUCAAAUAUUUAUAGCAAAUUGGCAAGAUAAUUUAAUGUUUUAUUUUGCCCAACAGCUAGAUGCUCCACUUAGAGGAAUACAAACAAAUUGGAGCUGAUUUAACCAGCACCUACUGUACAGCAGCUGAGAGACCUUCAUAAAGCAAGGAUUAGUUGUUUGUAGCACAUUAAGACAACAACAACUGCUCAACACAUUUAAUAUAGGAGAGGCAGAAGAUAACUCUAUUAAAGAUAGAUAUAUUAGCUCUGCAAACCUCAAACUCGAAACUUUUCAUCUGUUAUAAAAAUACAGUGAAGUUUAUAAAAUAAUCUGUUUUCUGCUUAUUAGCUAUAAAUAUAUAUGUUGAACUAUAAGUUCUCUCUUUACUAGAAUAAUGCUAAUUGAUUUUUACUAUUUAAAGAUCCUCAAAUGACAACUGAAUUAUCAAAGUCAUCAAAGAAAGUGUAUGUUGAACAUAAUGGAGCUUUAUUGGUAAGUGGUGUUCUUGUAUGUUUAUUCAAUAAAUGAUGAUCUAGAUAUUCUAUGUCACAUAGGUUUUUAAAACAUUUUUGAGUGUCCACACAUAUACCAGCCUUUGUGCUAGGCCUUUUGAAGAAAUAAAAUUGUGCAUGAGAUGUGGUCCUAGUAUUUCAAAGACUUGUAUUCUAGUACAGAUGAUUAACACAUACAUAUAGAAGUAAAAUUAUAGGCAGGUUUGAAAUAGAGGUGUAAGAUUGAAUUAGGUUAGGAUUUUUCAACAGCAACACUAUUGACAUUUUGAAUCAGAUACUUCUUAAUGGUGGAGAGCCAUCCUAUAUAUUGUGGAGUAUUUAGCAGCAUCUCUGACCUCUAUCCAUUAGAUGCCAAUAGCAUCUCCCCAGUUGUGACAACCAAAAAUGCCUCCAGACAUUGCCAAAUGUCCCCUGGGAGCUGAGUACAAAAUUGCAUGCCAUAUUGAGCCACAAGAUUAGAUGGAAAGUCCUAUAUACAUUUUGUUAAUGAAAAUAGCUUCCAUUUGAGGAAUCAAGGAAAGUCCAUAAAGGUAUGAGGACUAGUACGAGUAGGUUGAGAAGAGGAGAGCAUUUCAGGAACAGAGAAGGUGGUUAAACUCUAGAUGGGGAGACAAAUUAAUAAGUAUAAAUUAUGUUCAGGAGUCAUAGAAUUCAGAGUUUUAGAAGUGAUUAGUAAAUAAAAACUGAUACAGUAAAUAGAAAUCAAAUUAUGGAGGUUCUUGAAUGUAAAGAGGAUGUUUCUCAUUUUGUAGAGAUGUCACUUGAACAUGUAAAUGAAAUGAAUAAAGAAUCAUUUUCAAAAUGUUAUAAUGGCAGUUCUGAGCAGAAUGAUUUGACCAUACAAAAAAGUUCAUUUUAGGUAUAGGAAUCCAUUAAAAACAUAAUUUGGAAGAAACUGGGGAAUAUUGUAGGAAACAUAUUUCCCAGCAUAGGAUAAGAAAGGAAGACAAGUUAAAAAGUUAACUCUAUAAUUUUCUUCUAUGUUUGAUCUUGGAAAUUGUUGUUGAGAUUGUUUUUUUGUAAUACAGUUGAUACCUGAUGCUAGAGCUGAUUGAGAAAUUGACUCAGAUUCUCUGGGACUCCAUGAAGUGGAAAGUUGUAACUGAUGAAUUAGAACGUUUGGAUGAAAUGACCAUUCCUACGGAAAAGCCACUGGAGACAAACUCAGAAUCCAGACUCACAUUCAGAUGAUUUGUGUUUUCCCCAUAACCACCCUCCUAGAUUCAGAUACUUCCCUCCAAAUACAAUCCUGUUCACCAUGGAAGACAUUAAAACCUUCAGGGGUUGCUGCUGGGGGCCUUCACCACAAUGCAGCUAUUCACGUUUACUUUUGCUCUACCUGCAAAAAAUGUUCAUGGGCUCACUCCCAAAGUCAACUUUGAUCCAACGAUAGUCUUCAGUUACCAAACCUUAUCACACAUCUGUAAAACUGGAUAAUAAAGAAGGGUUUAAAAUAUGUACUUUUUUGUAUUUCUUUCUACUAGUCUCAUUUCUCAUUAGCUUAAUAUAAAGCUUAACUAACUCAAGAGGCUAGAAUAACAGUAAAAGUAAUUGAAUUUUUCAGUCACCAUGUCAUUUUAUAGACUAUUAUAUCAGCACAUAGUUUUGCUAUCCCUUUGAAUUGAUAGAAAUUAAUUUAAAAAUUUCCUACUGGACAUUUUAAAAUGUGUAUUGACCCACAAACCUGUAAAUGGUUGAAAGUACUAUUUGAGAGAAAUCAUUAACUCAGGUGUAGGAAUAUAGAACAACUACAAUAUUAUAUUUGACAAAGCAAGAUCUGUAAAAUAUAUUUUCAUUGACAGUAAGUAAAAAUAAUGUGGACUCUUACAAAGAAAUUUGAAAUUUAUCAGAGAAAACUUUGCAGAGAAGUAAAUUUUCACUAUUCACUUCAUCUUUAUUUUCAAGCACAUUCAUCUCUAUUCACAGAUUAGGUAUUCUACACUUUAAAAUUCAGCUUCAUAACAUUAUAGUUUUUCAGUAGUAUCAUUGAUCAUUCAGGUUCAGAACAUAUAAAACUCUUUAAAACAGUGCUGCCCUAAUGCUGCAGAACCCAUUUGCCCAAAAAGCUUAGUAAAUUCCCUGCAAUCACUUCUAGGGCUUUAUCUUUCUUUGAAAAGUUGUGUUUUCUCAAACUGGGGCCAUUUCUACACAAGGUAUGUCUCUUUCUAUUAAGUGAAUGCUGAAUUGUGUAUCUUUUUUGACUAGUGACACUGAAGUCUUAUUUUUCUUCUCUUUACUACAAAAUGAAAAAAAUUGAAUGCUAAUAUUUAGUCUUCAAUUAUAUACGGGCAUAUGGUAGUGUAAGAAUAUAUGCCAAAUUAUAGAUGCAAAGCUGCCUGAAUAUGUUGUGUUGCUUAAAUGAUGUUUGGGACAUGAUUCCUUCUCUGUUGAGAAAGAAAAAGGGUCACCUUAUUAUACUUAAAGGCGCAGUUUUGUUUGGUUCUACGGUGGGAGAAGUGAGCCUUUGUUAUCUGGGCAUUCAAGUGAGAAAAGUUUAGAUUACAGCAAGUAAGUGAAAAAUCACACAUGCCCUAAUGAAGAACAGCAAAUGAAUUUCUCUGUAAUUGUGGCUCUCAGCAGGACAAUAUGGACAAUGCUAUCUCUACAAUUUCAAGGACAUUUAAAUUAUCGAGUUGAUUAGAAUAUAUUAAGAAUUAGUAGCUAAAAUAUUUUUCUCACCUUCAUUGUUUUUAACAGUUCAGACUUGACUGAUUGUACUAAUUAGACAAGAAACUCUAUAGCAAAACUGAAAAACUUUCGUGUCUAUUACAUAUGUCCUUGAGAUCACAAGAAGUUAUAUUUGCCUGUUUUCAUAAGUCCAUGGUGUAGUUUUACAAAAUAACCUGCAAUAAUAGAAAAUAACCCAAAUCCUGUGUGGUUUAGACUAGUAGCCAAUUGAUAACCACAUACAACACAACACAUACAGUAUGGAAGUAUGCAUACAAUAAGUACUACAGAAAUUCAGAAGUGAGAGCUAUCCCUAAGGAAUGGAGAAAUCUAAAAAGACACACAGCAGGGAUGGAACUUAGUACAAAGGGAGACAGAGCCUUUUCGACAGGCACUGGUUGGUCAGUGGAGAGGGGAUGGAUCCAUAGUGUUUGAGAGUAAGCAAAGUGAUGAGUAAAGUAAUUGGUUUGGAAUACAGGAUUCAUUUACAUAAGUAAGAGAAGAUGAGGUUGAAGGGGUACCUAGGAGACAAUUGCAGGCUCCCCUGCAGCUGCGGAGUUUGGACAACAGGGAGAUAUUUAUUUAACAUAUACAUGUGUGCCUGCUACUUGAGAGAUGUUGCAGUGGGUACUAGCUAGACAUCUCUGAAAAAAGAUAUUUGAGUUUGGAGAGUGUGAGGAAGAUGAACUUCACUGGGAAAUACAGAAUAGAUUACAGUGAAGAUGAGCCAGUUUAAGUAGUAUUGGGACAGCUCAGGUGAAAAAAAAACAAAAAACAAAAGUUACACAUGUAGCAUUGGACAUGAACUGAAGACAAAGCACGUAAGAAGUUUAUGGGAAGAGAUUAGACUGAAUGGCUGAUAAUGAGGGAAUAGAAACAAAGUUCAGCAGGUAAGCUUGUUGGCUCUUGGAAAGGAUUAUGCUUCAGGAUUUAAAGAAUAUGCAAUGCAGUUCAGAUACUAACAAAGCAAGUUAGGUCAAAUUACACAGGUUAAGGGCACAGACCCCACAAGACUGCCCUCACUUGAGACUGCAGUCACAGGUCUGGAGUUCCCAGGCCACCCAUACUUGGGACCAACUGGCUAUAUUUUUUGAGGUUCUCACUACCCCCUCAGGUUUGAAAAUUCACUAGAACAACUUACAGAGUUCAAUAAAUUAUAUCAACACUUCAGAAAAUUCAGAAUUACAGUUUUGUUAGAAAGGAUGAAAAUCAGGACCAACCAAAUAAAGAAAUGCAUAGGGCAAGAUCUGAGAGGCUUCCAAACUUGAAUCACCCAUGUCCCCAGAAUGCAUCACCCACUUGGCACAUCCAUGUGUAUCAACAACCAGAAAAGUGAACUGAGCUUCAUUGUAUCGAGUUGUUGUUGGAGCUUCAUUAUGUAGGCAUGACCGAUUGAUUCAUUGGCCAUAAAGUUGAACUCAAAAUUCAACCUCCUUCUUCUAAGCCAGAAGUCAGGCCAAGAUCACAAGGCUCAAAGCCCCAACCCUGUAAUCACAUGAUAGGACUUUCUGGCAUGGCCACCACCCAUCUUUACUCAUCUAAUCAGCAUAAACUAUCUAGAGGCUCUCCAUAAGUCGUCUCAUCAGCAUAAACUCAGGUGUUUAUGCUGAUAAAACAUAAAUAACAAACACUCCUAUCACAUGGGAAAUCCAAGGAUUUGGAGGCUUCCACCCAAAGACCAGAGACAAAAACCAGCCAAAUUCUUUAUUACACAACAGAAUGAAUCUGAGGUAACAUUAGCUCUUUCAGGUGGAAAUUCCAGCAGGCAGAUGAAACUCCAAAAACAAACUGAAGAGAGAAAAAUGAAGACUAGAGAUGUGGCUUCAGCCACAAAGUAAAAGGUCACAUGAUAUAUAAUUCAUUGUGCAUAGCUACUCAGCAAGGGCUGCAGUUGAGGGAAGAGUCCUUGACAAGACAGUAUGCAUAGGAAAAGCCACCCAAACAUGGACAGCAUAUUUUUUCUAAAUAAAGCAACUUGUAGCCUGAUACAAACUUCAUCUUGAAUAGAAAUAAUUCUUUUUGCAUCUCUUUUCUUAACCGAAUGUCUAGAAUAUGUAUCUUUUAUGAGCAGAUAAAACAAUCUCUAAAAAAAGUGUGAUCUUAAAAAAAUAUGUAAAUCCAAAGUUACCAUAGCAGUGACUUAAAUACUUCAUUCUUGUUAGACAAAUACAAAAGUAAUGAGGUCAAAAGUUAUUAAUGCGCCCUGUAUUUUCUGCAUUGCGGACUAGUGGAAACUUAGCUGUAAUUUGCCCUAUUUGACGUGUUCUCAUUUUAAUUCAAUGUCACAGAAUACUGCAGUUUUCAGCUAACAAACAAUAGAAGACCAACCAGUCUACCCUCUGUACCUGCAACAAUACCCACAUGUACCUACCUCUGAAGAGGAUUUUAUCCAAAUUAAAAAUACGAUUUUUUAUCUUGCUCUGCAACAGUGGCAAAAUUAAAAACGAUAUAAAAUAUAUAUUUCUAUUUAGGCUAUUUUUUGUUUAACCUUUGAAUGAUCAGAGGUGGAUUCCAGGAGGAAUAUGACUUCCUUUAAAGUAUAUCUAUAAAUAGAAAAGGAAUAUGUUGUACGACAAAUUAUAAUUUAUAAUAUAUAAUAUAAUAUAUUGGAAUUUUGCUUCUCUAUAAUUCUAUAAUAGAUUAUGGACAUCUGACAAAUACAGAUGAACAUUUCUGUUAUUUCAAAUUAAUAAAUGCAAUAUUAUAUCCAUGUGUUCACAUAAUGAAAAUGUAUAUGCAUGCAAAUUAUUCACAGUUGCAUGGUUAAGAGUUACUAGAAAGCUGUUUAAGAAAUAAACCAUUUCUACAACAUAUUAGAGUGCUUAGUUUUAAUCACAAUGAGAACUUUCAUAGGCAUUAUCUGAUGUGUCAGUCUGAAUCCUGUGAGAAGCAGAUUCCAAGACAGAAUUAGAUGUGUAAGUGAUUUACUGGGAGAAAUACCUGCAGAGAAUAAAAAAGAGGAGCAGGAACAGGAAAACCCUCCAGUUUCUAAUGCAAGUCUGACAUCUGUGAAAGGAGAGAAGAAAAAAAAAAGAGAGCUUGGGUAGGGUGAACAAUACAAUCCAAAAGCAAAGAUGGGCUCUCAGCUGAGCGCUGUGUCAGGCAGGAAUUGCCUGGCCCUAGUCGCUCUGCUGUCCCCAGGCUGUUCCUAGGCUAGGGACAGCCCAGGAGGAGCAUGAACUUUACAUGAACACUGUGAUGCAUCCAAAAAUGUAGCAACUAGAGGCUAUUUGCCAACUAUUCUUGCAGCAGAUUAUCUUGCAGGGGAUAUCUGCGUGGUACACUUCCAUGACCACCACAGUCCAUCUCGAAUGUCUCAGAGUCUCUGCACACGUUUUUAGGAAGUAUUCCCUCAUUCCUGUGGGUCACUCUCCCUGAGAAAAAUUCUGAAAGAGGAAGGUUUGGAGGACAAAUUACAACCCCAUCUCUGUAGUUAGUCCCAGAGGUCCUGUUAGUUUACCUGGUGACGUGACCCGGAUACUCAUUCCUGACAGGUCAGCCCGAGGUAAUCAUACUUUCUCAAACUAGGAUUGCUGCACAUGUCAAUUAACCAUUAAAAUUGAACAAGAGACUCCCACAAGGCUUCAAAGUAGAUCACCUGGAUUCCACACGCAUACCUCUAUCUGCUUACGGUAAAAGCACACUUACCUCAUUCGGGAGAUCAGGUUCAAUUUCUUCUGCCAGGAUGAUGACUUCUCUUCUCUCCUGCUGUCUUCUGGAUACAAAGUUUAAAACGCCCAGGAGCAGCUCUAUACUGUAGUUUAACAGGAUCUCUGCUGUUUCCUGUGGCAAGAGUUUGCCCCUUUUGCAGACUGGGACCUCCAAAUGGGUCAUUAGGAGAAAUGGCGGAUGGUUAGGGUGCCAUUUUUUUCUCUAGCCCUUGGUUCUUGGGCCCAUACAGCCUUCCUAUUUAGACCUCUGACUUAGUGCAUAUGUUGUGUCCUAACAUAUACCAACCCACCCUUGCCCAGCAUUGCCAUCAAGGUGGCACUCCAACUGUGCCAUAGAAGUGCCUUCCAGCAUUAUGGGACACCAGCUGCCUCUGGGUGUUGUGGUAUGUGAUUCAAUCAGUAGCCCAAUUUUGUACCGUAUUUGUAAUGAAGUAGUUCCUCUUGUUGGAUGUUAUGUUACAAAUUCCAUGUCUGUGGAUCAACCUUUUAUUAGGCAAAUGGUGCUGACUUAAGGUCUGUGGGAAGAAAACUCAAAGCCAUAAGUAUUACCCCUACUCAUAAUAAGAGUAUUUCUAUCCCUGUGAGUGUGAUCUCCUGGUUCUUCUAUAAGGGAACAAUUCCAGCGUAACUGAAUUGUCAACAGGUGUCCACUUGGUAUUUGUUGUUGGAAGGCUGAACAUUCAGAGGUGCCAAUAGCUGGAUCAGCCUCAGUUAAGUGGCCAUAGGGCCAGUGUAUGGCCCCCAUCUAGGCCACUGUGGCUAGGCUGUUCAUCUGCCCAUCAUGCCAUCUCUGGAGGGUCUAUGAAAAAGGCCUUCUGAAGUCAUUGGCCAAAUCAUUUUGUCUUCUUGGUUAUUCAGGACUUCUGCUGUAAUAGGCAACUUCUUGGCAUUGACAGAUGAUACAAAAUUCUUCAAACUUUGUAUCCUCUCUCAUAUGUCUUUCUGCAUACUUCUUCCCCAGACCUCUUUUUCUUUAGUAUUCUAAUCUUUUUCUUUUCCAGUGUUAGGCCAUUGGCUUCUGGCCAAGAAUUUGUAUAUGUUUUCACCUCAUGACACUCUUCCUUUCCCACAGAGUAGAUAACCAGGUGCCUAACUUGCAGCUCCACCCAUUAGGAAAAGUUUUUCUCUCCACUGUGUUUUAAAGCCAUCCCUGAAUGUGACUGUAAUGCAACCACUACCAAUUUUCAGUUCACCCCCACAUAUCAUACUGACCUAUUCAUAAGCUAGACAGGCUAUUUUCCCUUCUUCAGCUGGUCAUAGGGGACAACCUCUAUCAGGCCAUAUGUGCAAGCUGGAGCACAGGCAAUGAAGCAAUUGUAGUGGGUAACAUGAACCCCAAAAGGGCUACCUGCUUAUGUUUCAUACUCCUGCCCUCUGGUCCUGCUCAGGCUCAAUCCAUGAUGUAUUAUUUCCGUCUUAAAAUACAUGGAAUGCUAAUGGACCCAUUCAACUUUAUGAUUUCUGGGUCCAACAGAAUCCAAUUUUUAAUGAGUAAUACUGAGUGGAAGGUCACCUGUUACUCCAUGGGCAACAGUAUGUCUCUAUGAGGGCUCAGCAACACAGCAGGAGCUGUUUCUCAGAAGGCACAUAUUCUUCUGCCACAGAUGGCUCCAGAACUCCAGAGACUUGUGUUAUAAUGUUCCCACUAGGGCUUAUAAACACCACACUGCAUACUUACCCACCACUGACAUUUCCAACACUAUAGGAUUUGCCACAGAACUAGAGGAAACUUUAGAGUCUAUUCUUGCUGCAUUGUUACAGCAUCCUUCCUCCUGGAACCCAUAUCUUUUAUUCAAUGGGCAUUAUACCAGAAAAUUUGUUCGAAUCCAGGAAUUGAGCAAGGGAUCAUGACUUUUAAUAAGAGCUACUGCCUUUAGACUCAUGUUCCUUCAUUUUUACCUUCUUCUGUUUGUAGAUGUAAAACAGUUCCCUCAUUGACUGUCCAUCUAAUUUUAUCCUAGAGAUGCCAAAGCAUCCCCCCAUAAUUUCUUGCAAGUCAAGUCCUCAUGGCUGCCCUUACAAUCCUGCCAGUCAUUAUAGUAACUGUAAUCCCCCGGCUUCAGGCAAUCAAACACCUCCAAACUCACUCUAUUUCUUUAGGUCCCAUUAUUCCCUUUGCUAUUAACAAAGUCAGUUCUGUGAACACGUAUCUGACCAUCAGCCCUGGCUUGCAGAGGAGAGCUACCACUGACGUUCUUGGUGAUGUAGAUGCCCCUAUCAUAUUCUCAUUCUUGACCUUAAUUAAUGGUGUGUAUUCUGGGCUCUUCCAUACAAUAUAAUCCUGUUUGGUUUUCGGGUCUUACAUAAUACAGCCAUUCAAGCAUGCUCACUUCCUGCUGGGGAAACUCAGGCAUUUCCACUUUGUUUAGAAUGGACCCUCACUUUCUCCAGGCUUCUAAUUGCCCCUCUAACACUGUGUUUGCAUUAUCCCCUAUGGUCUUUGCUGUAGUGUUAAAUCUUUUGUUCCAAUAAAAGAUACCCCAGUCGAUGAAGAGAGCUUUGCAUAUUCGGACUUACAUUCUGGCUUACUUGAUCAAGCAAUCUCAAAAUCCAAUCUUAUCGGCACUCUCUUGAAUUCAUCUGGUACAUGUUAACAAAUUUUUGCAGUUCCUUCAGAUAUAAUCUCUUUCCUCCAUUGUCAGGUUCAGCAUGUUUCUAGCCAGGUUACACUGAGAUUUAACGCUAUUGACCCAACAGCCAAAAAGUGGAGGUUAGGCAACUCCUGAAGGGGUGUCUGUUGCCUUACAGAGGAGAGAACUUCAUAGUGUCCUCAAAGAUAGGGGAAGCCCCUAAUAGAUGUGAACACCUUUGCAAGCAGUUAAGGUUUAAAGAAGUUUACCAAGCUACAUUAGUUUUUAUUUCUGUGUAAUAAAUUACAACAAGCUUAGCAACUUAAUGCACGUUUAUUAUCUUAAAGUUCCUGUAGGUCAAAAGUGUAGCUCUUAGCUAGAUCCUCUGCCCAAGUUCUCAUAAGGCUACAAUCAAAAUGUUGCUGGGGAAAAAAUCCACUUCCAAGCUCAUUCAGGCUGUGAUGAAUUAUAUUCUUCUGGCUGUAUAAAUGAGGUCAAAGCUUCUUACUAGCUCUAUGGUGAAGCUUUUUUCAGGUGAUAAAGAAUACCUAAAUUCCUUCUCAUGGGAUCCCCUCUGUAAUCAGUUCAUUGAUGGCUAUUUGCUUCUUCAAGGUUAGCAAGAGAAACUCUCUUCCAAUCUGUUAAAAUGAGAGUCUUACAUAAAUGAAACAUAGCCACAGGAGUGACAUCUUACCACUUUUGCCAUGUUCUGUUAUGAUUACAAGCAAGUCAGAGGUCCUACCCACACUAAAACAGAAGGAAUUAUACAAGAACAUGGAUCAUUGGGGGUUACUUUAGACUGUGUUCACCACAAGUAUAAAAAUAUUUCAGAGCAUCCACCCAGAUGUCUCAUCCAAUGUUUCAGUGGGCCAGAUUUUCCCUUAUUGGAACAGACCUCGUUUGGCUGUGUAUUUAAAUGUCUCCGGAGCUCUUAAUUGAGAGCUAUUAACUGUGGGAUCUUUAGCCUGUUACUCAGCUGUGUCAGCUCUUUCACUGAAUGAGAUAAGGGUCUCUUUCUAAGCUACCAAAAAGUCCUCUGCUCUCAUGUCUAUCUAUUAACUACUUGCUACCCACAAUUAGUUUUCAUUUCUAGUUUUCCCUUUACAGGAGUCAAUACAACUUAGUAAUAAAUGUACGAUUCCGUCAUCCGUGUAGGCAUUGUUCUUCCCUAUAUAUUUCAAAUGACUGGAUUAUUGUACUGGCAAGGGAAUUCCCCUCCACCGGGAUGUUUUCUAGGUUAUGAGUGGAUGCCUUUUCAACAAUUAGACCUCCAUCUUGUGCCAGGGAUUAUCUGUGCCCCACAUUCUACUUAGGCCGGUGUCCUUCAUGCCAGCUGGACAGUAAGCAAUGUAGUCCCCAACCCCGUUAUACUGCAUCCUUUCUCGAACUGCUUCUGUAUUAACUGGGUCACUUCGAGUCCUAUGAGAAGCAGAUUCCAAGGGAGAGGCAGAUGUGCAGGAGAAUUAUUGGAGAUACA